RNAcentral lists this long non-coding RNA (3508 nucleotides) under Mus musculus (house mouse). RNAcentral's name for it is "long non-coding RNA chr4:70430890-70434398". The record is from RNAcentral. Lineage: Eukaryota; Metazoa; Chordata; Mammalia; Rodentia; Muridae.
GUCUUUAGGUAGAAAUCCAUGUGUGUUCUUUCAACAAAGUCCUUAGUAUCUAUGUGGCCCUGAAUUGUGCCUGUGAGUUACAUACUUCCCCUACCCCAAUAUAUACACAUGGUAUGGCGGGGUGGGGGGGGGGGUAGUAUUCUAGAGAGCAUACAAGGGCUCUAUUAGAAGCAUCCACAAAUGGGAAUUUCCAUUCCAGUCUUCUAGGGCCCAUGGCUAGUAGAUUUAUAUGUAUCACAUAGCAAAAUGACAAUGAAGUAGAGGUGAGAACUGAUUCCAGGAAUAAUAAUGAUGAUGUGCAUGGUAUAGCGCUGAACAACUUAGACUCUCUGUGCCUCAGUUACUUCAUCUAUGAAAUGAGCACAAGACUACUUCCUAAGGAGGCUAGGGUGAGGAUCAAAGAACACAUGGAAAGGUGUUUUUUAAAUGACAAAGGGCAAAAUAUUAUUAAUAUAUUUUGUAAUUCUAAGGAUUAAACUCAUAGACUCAUAUGCUAGGCAAUCAGUCACUUGUAAAUUGUUUUAGUACAAUGAGAUGUAAUGUCUACCUUUAUAAAGACAGCCAAAAAUGCAGAGCACACCCAGGUUACCUAUGGAUCCUCUAGUAUACAGUCAUUUCUAAACCCUGAGAAAAAGGUGAGGUCUCCUACAAAGGAUGACCAACGUCUUUAUUUUUCUGAGGAAGUAAGAAAAGGAGUCUGAGCUUCCUAGGUCUACUCUGUUUUGUUUUCCCCUACUUCAUAGUCUGAGUCACUUUUCUUGGCUCUCAAUCUACAACCUAUGGAUGCAUAACAAAUGAAAGCAGCAGUACUUGGCCUCAGGGAAAAUGGCAUCAAAAAGCAAGGACUAAAUACACACCCAUAGUGACCCUCUGCCCAGAUAUGAAGAUGGAUGAACUCCAGCACUGAAGAAGCCAAACAGUCCUCAUGGUGCAUGGGUGACAGGUUAUGCUCAAAUGUCAGAGGCCUUUAUUUUGGCAGAUAUGGGAGGCACAUAAAUAUUUUAUGGGCAUAAAAACAAGAACCCCGAAGUGAUGUGAUGGCUUUUCUUUUUAAUUUAAAUUUUCUGUCCUUUGGAAGACUGUCUUUUACAUUCAGGAAAGAAGUCUUUUCCUGAGGAGUUUACACUGAGCAGUGUAAAACAGAGUGGCUAAUUAGGUGUGUCUGGAGAAUGCAGCCUGUGUUCCAGUUUCGCAAUUGCAGACUUCAAAAUCUAUUGCUUGAAUCUAUGGUAAGUCAAAGAGCAUAUGACUCUAGGUUGAGAGAGGAAAGAUUAGAAACAUUUGACCUCUUAUCAAUUUCAACAGUGUCCAAAUAGGGACUAAAAUGACUGAUGCUCACCAGAGUCCCAGCUCUAGCAAUAUUGUCACCUAUUUUACAGUAUUUUAACCAAGUUCCCAUAUCUUCUUUUUACAACACCAUUAACUGCUAUACAGAUAAAGUCUAGAUGAUAAAAUAGGACAUGAUUUUUUACAAAUAGAUACAAGUACAAUGUUGACCAGAUAAUGCUACAUUAAUUAUGUACACCUUGUUUCUUUAGAGGCAGGAACCUCUUUGAGGAGACCAUCAGCUUUCUGCUCUCUGCCUGCUGUGCCUACCCUCACCAUGGAAGCUUAUCCUGUGCUUUAACUCCAUUUUUGAAGGAGACUCUUAGAAGGAAAGCCAAGCCCUUCUACAGAACUUCUUGGCACCUUUCUUAGUCUACACACAACCAAGAUUUUUUUUAUUAGCCUAGAUAUCAUCUCUUCCUAAGUUACAUCUCUUAGUACAGUAAAAUGAACACAAUCCCUGCCUCUCUUUUAUAAAAUAUGUUUCCAAAGUGGAGAUGAAUUCUUCCAUCAGUCUUUCCCCUCCACAUCAACAUUCUAUCACAUCUGGUGAGGUGAACACUUUCCGAGCAGUCCUUUGAGAGGCCAGGUAGACUUAGGCUGCUCUGUGGGAUUCAGCCUUUCCAUAUAUACAUGUGGUUUGCUACAAAAAUAUACUUUACUUCAAGUCCUCGAUGAUGAGUGCUUCAGAUCUUCAUGGGGGAAUUAAGAGCAACAGACAGGCUAAGCGCACUACAGUUUGUACCUGAACAUUUGCACAAUACCUUUCUCAACAAACUCUACCUAGGCUCUGUGCAGCCAGAGGUCAGGUGCUGUUUAAGUGAGCACUGUUUUCUGACAAUCCAGGAGGACAACUCAGCUUCUCAGGCUUUGUAGUUAUGAAUAGGUGUUGUCAGGGUCAGCUGCCCAUUGGGAGCCACUUCAUUGGCAUCGUCCUCUAACAAUCCCGACACAUCUGCAUUGGGGAUGCUGUCAUGGUAGCUGCUGAAACUGAUAUUGUCUUCUUUCAGCUCGAUGGUCCAAAAGGGAGCAUUGAGUUUCCGAUUUUGGUACUCUCGGUACAUGUACACAGCUCCUACAAAUCCCAUUAGCAGCACUACCACAAUGAUGAUGACUGUCAAAAUGAUGAUGUUAAACUGGGUCCAUGAUACAUCAGCAAGAGCUGAGGUGCUGUUUUCAGAAGAGCUUACUGCAAAGAUAGUCUGCAGGGUUGUGGGGGCAAAAGUACUAUUUAUAACAGGGGUGGGCACUGAUGUGGUCAAAGAGGCAUUGGAAACCAAAAUGGUAGAACCUUCAGGAGUUGGAACAAUAACUUCUGAAAAUAAAAACAGAGAAUGAAAUGUAAAAGACAAAAUUAUCUAGUUUUGAGAAACAAUAAAAGAAAUACACAUGAAAGUGAAAGUUGAUAUGGAAUGUUGACAUGGUACUCUGCUUAGAGGAAUGCAAGUUAAAAAUAAUUUUUAAAUAAAUACAAUGAUAAGAAAUGGAGUCUGGAAAGCUCAUUUAUUACAUCUUACAUCCAGGUCUGUUCUUUAAUGUGUAUAACACCUACACCAAACCUUUAGAAAAAUUCUAACAUGGACGUUUUCCACCCUUCUUAUCUAUCAUGGACAUUUCUGCAAAGGCUGUAAAUAUGUCACCAUUAAGCUCUAAAUCAUAUGGUUUAAAAUGAAAAUUUUCUGACAUAGAAUAUAUCCAUCACAUCUGAUGGAAUUUUAUGAAAGUAAAAUUAUCCUUAAAGAAACUAUAAAAUUAUAUUCCAGAAAACAGAAUUUAAUGCUCAGAGUUAUUGUCAGCCAAAAGAGAAAAGAGGUUUCCUUUAAUUCCAUGUGUAGAGAGCUCUUGCUUUGUGUGUUGUUGAAUUACUUUAUGAUCAAGGAGCUACAUUUUAGACCUCUUAUGAUAGAUAGCAUAGCUCAGUGGAAGGCUGAAAAGCUUUGGGCUAGGUUUUGGAGUGGUUUGGGCUACAAGUAAGUUAAUCUCUUAGAAUUUUAGAUUCUUCAUCUGUUAAAUACGAAUAAUAAUGUCUACUUCACAGAGUUCUUGGGAAACUUUAUGUGUAUAUUAGUGAUCAUUAUAGGUACUCAAUAAAAUUAUAAUAAAAAUAGCUAUUACUGUUCAUCACUUCAGUCUACUACAUUAGUUAGCCUAAAAAUAGCCAAAGCUUGUAUUCCUUCAUGGC